This 254-nucleotide ribosomal RNA is filed under the name uncultured bacterium. Its description in RNAcentral is "partial 16S ribosomal RNA". It matches the Rfam family "Bacterial small subunit ribosomal RNA", at positions 524 to 776 of the family's 1533-position model. The record is from RNAcentral.
UACGGGGGGAGCAAGCGUUGUUCGGAUUUACUGGGCGUAAAGGGCGCGUAGGCGGCCACCGCAAGUCGACUGUGAAAUCUCCGGGCUUAACCCGGAAAGGUCAGCCGAUACUGCGGGGCUAGAGUGCAGAAGGGGCAACUGGAAUUCUCGGUGUAGCGGUGAAAUGCGCAGAUAUCAGGAGGAACACCGGUGGCGAAGGCGGGUCUCUGGGCCGAAAUUGACGCUGAGGAGCGAAAGCGUGGGGAGCGAACAGG